UACGUAGGUGGCAAGCGUUGUCCGGAAUCAUUGGGCGUAAAGAGCGUGUAGGCGGCCCGGUAAGUCCGCUGUGAAAGUCGGGGGCUCAACCCUCGAAUGCCGGUGGAUACUGUCGGGCUAGAGUGCGGAAGAGGCGAGUGGAAUUCCUGGUGUAGCGGUGAAAUGCGCAGAUAUCAGGAGGAACACCAAUUGCGAAGGCAGCUCGCUGGGACGUAACUGACGCUGAGACGCGAAAGCGUGGGGAGCAAACAGG
This 253-nucleotide ribosomal RNA is filed under the name uncultured bacterium. RNAcentral describes it as "partial 16S ribosomal RNA". It matches the Rfam family "Bacterial small subunit ribosomal RNA", at positions 524 to 776 of the family's 1533-position model. The record is from RNAcentral.